AGUGAAGUAGCUCAACAGAAAUGUUGGAAAAAAUCCCGAGUUGUCAGGAUUUAAACAAUGCAUUGUUAGGCCAGGGCUUUACUUGAACAUGAUGAUGGGCUCCAGCCCCUGCAGCGCCCACUGGUCAGGGAAGGCCUCUAGUGUACAGGUGAACACUGCGUGCUCCCUCUCCAGGGACACCUGACUGCAAACGUAGCUGUGGAAGAGGGGCAGACAGUCGGGUCGAACAACCCCCUCGACUGCCCGCUGCCUGGUCCAGUUAAUGGGCACCUUGGCCAGGCCCAGGAGCAGGCUAACAAGGAGGUCUUUCCCCUGCCCACCCCGUUCCGCACCAACGAUCAGGAGUAUGAGGCUGAAGUGCAACCAAAGCCUGAGGAGCAGCCCCCUUCGAAUAGUCAAAAAGGAUCUCCCACCAACACAGAACCACUGGACCUUUUCGGUAUGAAGCCCAUCUGGCAGCCAUCUUUAAUAUCUCUCAUCAAUAACCAUUUGAAUUAAAAUCAACUGGAUGUAACUAAGAUGCCUGCACUGCUUAUUGUUCCUCGAGGUUGUUUGUAGCUGAUAUUCACAGCUCUUUAACCCAGUUGCAGCUCAUUUGGAUAGUGUGGUCGCAUAUACUUAAUGCAAGGAUGCUUCAGGGAUAUUUUGGCUAGAAACCACAUCGUCCUCUCUGAGAACGUAUUGAGAAAAACAAAUCCUUAUUUCAUUACAAAAAUUUGCCAGCACCAUAUAUGAUUAGACAGCACAAAAUUCAGAUGCUAGAAAAGGAAGCAGU
Molecule: long non-coding RNA, 775 nt
Organism: Carcharodon carcharias (great white shark)
Lineage: Eukaryota; Metazoa; Chordata; Chondrichthyes; Lamniformes; Lamnidae
Exons: 3
Source: RefSeq, a predicted model, not a curated record